UACGUAGGGUGCGAGCGUUGUCCGGAAUUACUGGGCGUAAAGAGCUUGUAGGCGGUUUGUCGCGUCUGCCGUGAAAAUCCGGGGCUCAACCCCGGACUUGCGGUGGGUACGGGCAGACUAGAGUGUGGUAGGGGAGACUGGAAUUCCUGGUGUAGCGGUGAAAUGCGCAGAUAUCAGGAGGAACACCGAUGGCGAAGGCAGGUCUCUGGGCCACUACUGACGCUGAGAAGCGAAAGCGUGGGGAGCGAACAGG
This 253-nucleotide ribosomal RNA is filed under the name uncultured bacterium. Its description in RNAcentral is "partial 16S ribosomal RNA". It matches the Rfam family "Bacterial small subunit ribosomal RNA", at positions 524 to 776 of the family's 1533-position model. The record is from RNAcentral.